UACGAGGGGUCCUAGCGUUGUUCGGAAUCAUUGGGCGUAAAGAGCUCGUAGGUGGCUUAGUAAGUCAGCUGUGAAAUCCCCGGGCUCAACCUGGGACUUGCAGUUGAAACUGGAAAGCUAGAGUAGGGUAGAGGGGUGUGGAAUUCCAGGUGUAGCGGUGAAAUGCGUAGAUAUCUGGAGGAACAUCAGUGGCGAAGGCGACACCCUGGACUCAUACUGACACUGAGGUGCGAAAGCGUGGGGAGCAAACAGG
RNAcentral lists this ribosomal RNA (253 nucleotides) under uncultured bacterium. Its description in RNAcentral is "partial 16S ribosomal RNA". It matches the Rfam family "Bacterial small subunit ribosomal RNA", at positions 524 to 776 of the family's 1533-position model. The record is from RNAcentral.